RNAcentral lists this unclassified non-coding RNA (435 nucleotides) under Hevea brasiliensis (rubber tree). The record is from RNAcentral. Lineage: Eukaryota; Viridiplantae; Streptophyta; Magnoliopsida; Malpighiales; Euphorbiaceae.
CUCUCUCUCUGUGUGUGUGUGUGUCCAAUAUCCAAAGCUCAUCUAGCAAUAUCAAAGGAAGAAGAGAGAAUUAAUUAACCAACCUACUACAAUCAUCACUUGUUGUCAAUGGUGACCCUGAAAGCAGGGACCAGACCACCAUGGGUAGGACUUGGAGCGGCUGUCUGGUUGCAAAUAGCGUCAGGGAAUUCCUACAAUUUCGCUCUCUAUUCCCAUUCCUUGAAAUCUGUCCUUGGUUUUAACCAGCAGCAGCUUACCAUGCUUGGGGUUGCUAAUGAUAUUGGUGGGAAUGUUGGACUCCUCCCUGGUAUUGCCUGCAACAAGUUCCCUCCUUGGUCCAUUCUCUUGAUCGGUGCUUUUGCUUGUUUCUUUGGUUAUGGUGUUCUCUGGCUCGCUCUUAGCCGCACUGUUCAGUCUAUGCCUUAUUGGUUGCUA